GAGUGAGCGGCAAAAGCUCAAAUUUGAAAUCUGGCGCCUUCGGUGUCCGAGUUGUAAUUUGAAGAUUGUAACCUUGGGGUUGGCUCUUGUCUAUGUUUCUUGGAACAGGACGUCACAGAGGGUGAGAAUCCCGUGCGAUGAGAUGCCCAAUUCUAUGUAAGGUGCUUUCGAAGAGUCGAGUUGUUUGGGAAUGCAGCUCUAAGUGGGUGGUAAAUUCCAUCUAAAGCUAAAUAUUGGCGAGAGACCGAUAGCGAACAAGUACAGUGAUGGAAAGAUGAAAAGAACUUUGAAAAGAGAGUGAAAAAGUACGUGAAAUUGUUGAAAGGGAAGGGUUUGAGAUCAGACUCGAUAUUUUGUGAGCCUUGCCUUCGUGGCGGGGUGACCCGCAGCUUAUCGGGCCAGCAUCGGUUUGGGCGGUAGGAUAAUGGCGUAGGAAUGUGACUUUACUUCGGUGAAGUGUUAUAGCCUGCGUUGAUGCUGCCUGCCUAGACCGAGGACUGCGAUUUUAUCAAGGAUGCUGGCAUAAUGAUCCCAAACC
Molecule: ribosomal RNA, 538 nt
Filed under: Meyerozyma guilliermondii
Lineage: Eukaryota; Fungi; Ascomycota; Pichiomycetes; Serinales; Debaryomycetaceae
Description: eukaryotic LSU rRNA
Rfam family: Eukaryotic large subunit ribosomal RNA
Source: RNAcentral